Transfer RNA from Podospora anserina, 89 nucleotides. It matches the Rfam family "tRNA". From Rfam's summary of the family: Transfer RNA (tRNA) molecules are approximately 80 nucleotides in length. Their secondary structure includes four short double-helical elements and three loops (D, anti-codon, and T loops). The record is from Rfam. NCBI's taxonomy places the organism in Eukaryota, Fungi, Ascomycota, Sordariomycetes, Sordariales, Podosporaceae.
GCGGGUUUAGCUCAGUUGGGAGAGCGUCAGACUGAAGUCCACUUCAAUCAUUAAUCUGAAGGUCAUGUGUUCGAUCCACAUAAACCGCA